GUGCUUGCUUCAGCAGCACAUGUACUAAAAUUGGAACAAUACAGAGAAAAUUAGCAUGGCCCCUGCGCAAGGAUGACAUGCAAAUUUGUGAAGCAUUGCAUAUUAAA
RNAcentral lists this small nuclear RNA (107 nucleotides) under Sciurus carolinensis (gray squirrel). Lineage: Eukaryota; Metazoa; Chordata; Mammalia; Rodentia; Sciuridae. RNAcentral also lists the same sequence under 1 other name. The record is from RNAcentral.